AAUGAACGUUGGCGGCGUGCAUUUGGCAUGCAAGUCGUGCGGAAGUGGCCCGCAAGGGUUACUUUAGCGGCGAAAGGGAGAGUAAUACGUAGGUACCUACCCCUGGAACCGGGAUAGCUGCGGGAAACUGCAGGUAAUACCGGAUAACGUCUCCGGCCCAAAGGUGUGAUUCCGUGCGGGGAGGGGCCGACGUCCUAUUAGCUAGGUGGUGAGGUGAUGGCUCACCAAGGCAAAGAUGGGUACGGGGUAUGAGAGUAUGCCCCCGCUCACUGGGACUGAGACACUGCCCAGACACCUACGGGUGGCUGCAGUCGAGGAUCUUCGGCAAUGGGGGAAACCCUGACCGAGCGACGCCGCGUGUGGGAUGAAGGCCCUCGGGUUGUAAACCACUGUCAGAGGGGAUGAAAUGCUAUGGGGUUCUCUCCAUAGUUUGACAUAUCCUCAGAGGAAGGACGGGCUAAGUUCGUGCCAGCAGCCGCAGUAA
This 484-nucleotide ribosomal RNA is filed under the name uncultured bacterium. RNAcentral's name for it is "partial 16S ribosomal RNA". It matches the Rfam family "Bacterial small subunit ribosomal RNA", at positions 29 to 523 of the family's 1533-position model. The record is from RNAcentral.